CUAGACCUAAGCGAUAGUGGCAUAGAGAGGAUUCCAGACUAUGUCAGCGGUCUCCAUCGGUUACAAACUCUUAUCGUCGAAAACUGUAGAAAACUCAUGUCCGUGGAGAAUCUCCCCAGUUCCCUCAAGUCCCUACAAGCAAACAAUUGUGUUUCACUUGAGAGAGUCGAAUUGUCAAUGUUACUACAAGAUUCAGAUUCAAUCAGGGAACUCAUGUUCCAUAAUUGCUUAAGACUCGAUAAAGAAGCAAGAAGAGUAAUCUUAAAUCGAAGGUAUUCCGAGUAUGUAUGCUUACCAGGUAAACAAGUCCCCGCUGAGUUCACUCACAAAGCUGCAGCAAACUCCAUAACCAUCUCUCCGGGGAACUUUUCCACUGCUUCUUCAAGAUUUCAGGUUUGCUUCCUGCUAUCACCAAUCAAGGCCAACGCACUUGUGAAUGU
RNAcentral lists this long non-coding RNA (440 nucleotides) under Brassica napus (rape). RNAcentral's name for it is "long non-coding RNA (BNAP_LNC016130)". Lineage: Eukaryota; Viridiplantae; Streptophyta; Magnoliopsida; Brassicales; Brassicaceae. The record is from RNAcentral.